GGCCAGACUCCUACGGGAGGCAGCAGUGGGGAAUAUUGCACAAUGGGGGGAACCCUGAUGCAGCGACGCCGCGUGGGUGAAGGAGCACCUCGGUGCGUAAAGCUCUAUCAGCAGGGAAGAAAAUGACGGUACCUGACUAAGAAGCCCCGGCUAACUACGUGCCAGCAGCCGCGGUAAUACGUAGGGGGCAAGCGUUAUCCGGAUUUACUGGGUGUAAAGGGAGCGUAGACGGCUGUGCAAGCCAGAUGUGAAAGCCCGGGGCUCAACCCCGGGACUGCAUUUGGAACUGUGUGGCUGGAGUGUCGGAGAGGCAGGCGGAAUUCCUAGUGUAGCGGUGAAAUGCGUAGAUAUUAGGAGGAACACCAGUGGCGAAGGCGGCUUGCUGGGCUUUUACUGACGCUGAGGCUCGAAAGUGUGGGGAGCAAACAGGAUUAGAUACCCUAGUA
This 446-nucleotide ribosomal RNA is filed under the name uncultured bacterium. RNAcentral describes it as "partial 16S ribosomal RNA". It matches the Rfam family "Bacterial small subunit ribosomal RNA", at positions 329 to 792 of the family's 1533-position model. The record is from RNAcentral.